UACGGAGGGUGCGAGCGUUAAUCGGAAUUACUGGGCGUAAAGCGCGCGUAGGUGGCUUGAUAAGCCGGUUGUGAAAGCCCCGGGCUCAACCUGGGAACGGCAUCCGGAACUGUCAAGCUAGAGUGCAGGAGAGGAAGGUAGAAUUCCCGGUGUAGCGGUGAAAUGCGUAGAGAUCGGGAGGAAUACCAGUGGCGAAGGCGGCCAUCUGGCUGGUAACUGACGCUGAGGUGCGAGAGCGUGGGGAGCAAACAGG
Molecule: ribosomal RNA, 253 nt
Filed under: uncultured microorganism
Description: partial 16S ribosomal RNA
Rfam family: Bacterial small subunit ribosomal RNA
Source: RNAcentral